Molecule: long non-coding RNA, 1333 nt
Filed under: Nicotiana benthamiana
Lineage: Eukaryota; Viridiplantae; Streptophyta; Magnoliopsida; Solanales; Solanaceae
Description: long non-coding RNA (NBEN_LNC005999)
Source: RNAcentral
CACCGGACUAUUCAAGGCAAAUCAAUACUAUGUGCAUAUUACUUCAAACAUUCAAGACAUAAAAUCGAAAUCUAACAACUGAACUUCUGAGAUUUUUUAACAUAACAUUAACUACACCUCAAACUAACAACACUUAAUGCUCACACGAGACGCAGCAUCCAUUUCCAUACUUGUUUUUGCCAUUAUCACUUAGAUCCACAGCAUGUUCCAGGUAUCAGUUAAAUCAAACACUUCAAUCAAAGUUAUAACAUUGCCAACAGAUUCAAACAACUGAAGCACAUGAACUAGAAGUACAUCCAAAAUUUCAUUACGAAUCAGAGAUGAGAUACAUGAUUGAGAUAUGUACCUGUUCGCUUAGUAAUCAACCUUAAAUUGCCAAAUAAAAGCUAGAAAGGAGGAAAAGUUGGAGCUCAGAUGCAGUUUAUUCGCAAAACAGCUUCAAUUACCAGUUGAAAUCAACUUGAAACCCCAGGGAAGUAUGAAUAAAAUCUUCAACACUCGAUUUAACCUUUCUUUUUUUUUUCUUUUUUUUUCGCGUUUUUUCAGAGCUUUUGUUUUUGUUCUCAGACCUUCAAUGGAGCCUUCUUUUACAUUAAAACAUUAAUAUUGCUUGCUUUAUACUCCAAGAAAUUGCAGGUCUUCCGACACAAGUUCCUUUGUGUGAUUUUAGGUCUAUCUUGUUCCCUUUUAAGACCUUCACUCAUAUAGUUUUCACCUACAAACCGGUGCAACUUUAACCAUUCUCUCAGUUUAAGCUCUAUGUGUCCUAUUUGCACCUUCUGCUACACGUGAUUACAUUUAAUCUAGUAUGACUUCACGUUCAUCUUAACAUUCACAUUUCUACGAUAUUCUUUAAUGUCAAUAGACACUAAUCUGAAUGUCUAUUUUCUUAGUCAAAAUUGAAACCAUAAUCAUCCAAAUGGUCUCAACUACAUAUAUUCCUCCUAUAUAUCACAUAACCAAAUAGAUCUACCUUUUACUAGAGUCAUAGACAAGUAAACAUAAAACAUCAUAUCAAAAACCCUAGCGUACAACAAAUAAAUACAAGUAUCAAUUUCUAAGAGCAAGAUGCUUCAACAUAAAAAUCAAAAGACAUAUGGGGAAUCGGCAACAGAAACAAAGCCUAACCUUUUGCGAGGAGAAUCAGCCUGCAAAGAAUCAAGCAUAUGUUCAAUUAGUUGAAUUGGCAACAAUAAUCAGAGAAAAUGGAUUAAUGCAAUCACUGUCUAAAACACGCAAAAACACAUACUGAUACACCCAGGUAGGAUGAGAGAGAGCUCUUACCAUUUCCAACGAGACGAGAAAACCCUAAAUCGCCAAAAGGGGGAGAAAG